GUAAGUAGCGGCGAGCGAACGCGGAAGAGCCCAAACCAAUAAAGUUUUCUUUAUUGGGGUUGCGGACAUAUCAUAACGAAGAGGUAUCGUAAUUGAAGAGGUUUGGAAAGACCCACCACAGAAGGUAAUAGUCCUGUAUGUUAAACGAGAAAACUUUAGAUAUGAUCCAGAGUACCACGGGACACGUGAAACCCUGUGGGAAGCAGGAG
Molecule: ribosomal RNA, 209 nt
Filed under: Clostridioides difficile
Lineage: Bacteria; Bacillati; Bacillota; Clostridia; Peptostreptococcales; Peptostreptococcaceae
Description: partial 23S ribosomal RNA
Rfam family: Bacterial large subunit ribosomal RNA
Source: RNAcentral